ACGAUGUUCCGCUGUAAUUUAUUAAUGACUUUAUAAGAGCAUCUG
Non-coding RNA from Bacillus cereus Rock3-44, 45 nucleotides. The record is from Rfam. NCBI's taxonomy places the organism in Bacteria, Bacillati, Bacillota, Bacilli, Caryophanales, Bacillaceae.